GUCCGGGUAGCCUAGUGGUAAGGCGUCAGGCUGUGGACCUGAAGAUCGCGGGUUCAAAUCCCGCCCCGGACC
Transfer RNA from Candidatus Nanopusillus sp., 72 nucleotides. It matches the Rfam family "tRNA". From Rfam's summary of the family: Transfer RNA (tRNA) molecules are approximately 80 nucleotides in length. Their secondary structure includes four short double-helical elements and three loops (D, anti-codon, and T loops). Further hydrogen bonds mediate the characteristic L-shaped molecular structure. tRNAs have two regions of fundamental functional importance: the anti-codon, which is responsible for specific mRNA codon recognition, and the 3' end, to which the tRNAs corresponding amino acid is attached (by aminoacyl-tRNA synthetases). tRNAs cope with the degeneracy of the genetic code in two manners: having more than one tRNA (with a specific anti-codon) for a particular amino acid; and 'wobble' base-pairing, i.e. permitting non-standard base-pairing at the 3rd anti-codon position. Lineage: Archaea; Nanobdellati; Nanobdellota; Candidatus Nanoarchaeia; Nanoarchaeales; Nanopusillaceae. The record is from Rfam.